GGCGGGACACGUGGUAUCCUGUCUGAAUAUGGGGGGACCAUCCUCCAAGGCUAAAUACUCCUGACUGACCGAUAGUGAACCAGUACCGUGAGGGAAAGGCGAAAAGAACCCCGGCGAGGGGAGUGAAAAAGAACCUGAAACCGUGUACGUACAAGCAGUGGGAGCACCCUUUGGGGUGUGACUGCGUACCUUUUGUAUAAUGGGUCAGCGACUUAUAUUCUGUAGCAAGGUUAACCGAAUAGGGGAGCCGGAGGGAAACCGAGUCUUAAUUGGGCGUUAAGUUGCAGGGUAUAGACCCGAAACCCGGUGAUCUAGCCAUGGGCAGGUUGAAGGUUGGGUAACACUAACUGGAGGACCGAACCGACUAAUGUUGAAAAAUUAGCGGAUGACCUGUGGCUGGGGGUGAAAGGCCAAUCAAACCGGGAGAUAGCUGGUUCUCCCCGAAAGCUAUUUAGGUAGCGCCUCGUGAAUUCAUCUCCGGGGGUAGAGCACUGUUUCGGCUAGGG
This 506-nucleotide ribosomal RNA is filed under the name Salmonella enterica. Its description in RNAcentral is "partial 23S ribosomal RNA". It matches the Rfam family "Bacterial large subunit ribosomal RNA", at positions 416 to 924 of the family's 2925-position model. Lineage: Bacteria; Pseudomonadati; Pseudomonadota; Gammaproteobacteria; Enterobacterales; Enterobacteriaceae. The record is from RNAcentral.